Molecule: long non-coding RNA, 873 nt
Organism: Canis lupus familiaris (dog)
Lineage: Eukaryota; Metazoa; Chordata; Mammalia; Carnivora; Canidae
Exons: 3
Source: RefSeq, a predicted model, not a curated record
GGAGGAGAGACUGCUCCAUAAAAAUACAGACUCACCAGUUCCUGCUUUGAUGUGACAUGUGACUCCCCAGAAUACAUCUUGCUUCUGUAGACCAGCUCCAACAGGAUUCCAUGGUAGCUGGAAUGUUAGGGCUCAGUGGUUCACUAUUAAAAGAUGCUACUGGAUUGAAUUUCCUCACGUGCCAGUCUUUUUGAAGAACAGCUGUCUAAACCUGGAAUUGCUGAUGGGUACCACCACAUCGCCUUCCAAAAUGUCUCAGUUCCCACAACAGUCUGAGAAAGUGGCACUUCCCAUACCCUCCAGAAUUGGAUGCCCAUCUUUUCAAUUUGUGCUCCUUGGGUUAUUACUGAGGCUGGACCUCAGUAAUCAUCAGCCGUUUGUAUUUGGUCUUUGUGAAUUGCUUGCCUGUUGAUGUCCUGCAUUCAUUCUUCCAUCAGGAUAUUUUUUUAAGUUGAUUUGUAAGAACUUAUAAUGUAUUAAGGAUAUUCUUUGUCAUCAUGCAGAUGUUUUUCCUACCUUAUCAUAUAAUUUUGAUUCUGCCUCUCUUUUUGAUGUAUGAGAUUUCUGUUAUUAUUUUUUUCUUUGGCUUUUAUACUUAGAAAGUCCUUUCCUACUUUAAGAACAUGUUAAUAUUCAUCUAUAUGUUUUUCUUCCUAAAAAAACUUGAUGUACUAUAUUGAUAUAUACAAAAGAAUCUUAUAGGUAAGUUGUCCUGUGUUUUUCAUAUGGUUAUAAUGCCUGUUUUUGUAUUGAACUUUGAGUAGGGAUGAGGUCUAGAGCCCAUUUAGCCAGUUGUGUCAUAGCCAUUUGGUGAUUCAGUCAUCUGGUCUUCACCUUUAUCAUAAUGUUGACUUCAAGUAAGCAAAGCAUCUC